AGGUAGUCUAGUGGUUAGAGGAGCCAGGUAGUCUAGUGGUUAGAGGAGCCAGGUAGUCUAGUGGUUAGAGGAGCCAGUUAGUCUAGUGGUUAGAGGAGGCAGGUAGCCUAGUGGUUAGAGGAGGCAGGUAGCCUAGUGGUUAGAGGAGCCAGGUAGUCUAGUGGUUAGAGGAGCCAGGUAGUCUAGUGGUUAGAGGAGCCAGUUAGUCUAGUGGUUAGAGGAGGCAGGUAGCCUAGUGGUUAGAGGAGGCAGGUAGCCUAGUGGUUAGAGGAGGCAGGUAGCCUAGUGGUUAGAGGAGACAGGCAGCCUAGUGGUUAGAGUGUAGAGGAGACAGGUAGCCUAGCGGUUAGAGGAGACAGGUAGCCUAGCGGUUAGAGGAGGCAGGUAGCCUAGCGGUUAGAGGAGACAGGUAGCCUAGCGGUUAGAGGAGACAGGUAGCCUAGCGGUUAGAGGAGGCAGGUAGUCUAGCGGUUAGAGCGUUGGACCAGUAACCGAAAGGUUUGCUGGAUCGAAUCCCCCGAGCUGACAAGGUAACUAUCUUUCUGUCGUUCCGCCCCCUGAACAAGGCAGUUAACCCACUGUUCCCCUGAACAAGACAGUUAACCCACUGUCCCCCGAACAAGACAGUUAACCCACUUUUCCCCUGAACAAGGCAGUUAACCCACUGUUCCCCUGAACAAGGCAGUUAACCCACUGUUCCCCUAAACAAGGCAGUUAACCCACUGUUCCCCUGAACAAGGCAGUUAACCCACUGUUCCCCUGAACAAGGCAGUUAACCCACUGUUCCCCUGAACAAGGCAGUUAACCCACUGUUCCCCUGAACAAGGCAGUUAACCCACUGUUCCCCUGAACAAGGCAGUUAACCCACUGUUCCCCGGUUGGGACGUCAUUGUGAAUAAGAAUUUGUUCUUAACUGACUAGCCGAGUUAAAUAAAGAAUAUUUUUAAUAAUUAUCCCAUGCUGUGAGAGCGAAGAAUCCCCUGGUAGUAAGCCUAAUUCCUAGUAUUACUCCAUGCCAAGAGCUCAUAGACAUUGGCUGUCAAAAUCGUUUGUCUGUGUCGGCUGGCCUGGCAUGUUGGCUGGCCUGGCAUGUUGGCUGGCCUGGCAUGUUGGCUGGCCUGGUGUGCCUUCCUGCCUGCCUUCCUCUUAAUCCUAUUUUCAACAGGACUGAUCUUCUAAAGGCAGAUUUACUAUAACAGGGGUGUGGAUGCCUUAUUUACUAUAACAGGGGUGUGGAUGCCUUAUUUACUAUAACAGGAGUGUGGAUGCCUUAUUUACUAUAACAGGAGAGAUAGAUGCCUGAUUUACUAUAACAGGAGAGAUAGAUGCCUGAUUUACUAUAACAGGGGUGCUGGAUGCCCGAUUUACUACAACAGGACAGAUAGAUGCCUGAUUUACUAUAACAGGAGAGAUAGAUGCCUGAUUUACUAUAACAGGGGUGCUGGAUGCCUUAUUUACUAUAACAGGAGUGUGGAUGCCUUAUUUACUAUAACAGGGGUGUGGAUGCCUUAUUUACUAUAACAGGGGUGUGGAUGCCUUAUUUACUAUAACAGGGGUGUGGAUGCCUUAUUUACUAUAACAGGGGUGUGGAUGCCUUAUUUACUAUAACAGGGGUGUGGAUGCCUUAUUUACUAUAACAGGGGUGUGGAUGCCUUAUUUACUGUAACAGGGGUGCUGGAUGCCCGAUUUACUACAACAGGAGAGAUAGAUGCCUGAUUUACUAUACCAGGAGAGAUAGAUGCCUGAUUUACUAUAACAGGAGAGAUAGAUGCCUGAUUUACUAUAACAGGGGUGCUGGAUGCCUGAUUUAUUAUAACAGGAGAGAUAGAUGCCUGAUUUACUAUAACAGGAGAGAUAGAUGCCUGAUUUACUAUAACAGGGGUGCUGGAUGCCUGAUUUAUUAUAACAGGAGAGAUAGAUGCCUGAUUUACUAUAACAGGAGAGAUAGAUGCCUGAUUUACUAUAACAGGAGAGAUAGAUGCCUGAUUUACUAUAACAGGGGUGCUGGAUGCCUGAUUUACUAUAACAGGAGAGAUAGAUGCCUGAUUUGCUAUAACAGGAGAGAUAGAUGCCUGAUUUACUAUAACAGGAGAGAUAGAUGCCUGAUUUACUAUAACAGGAGAGAUAGAUGGAGUUAAACACUAUUAUUGAGUCCAUGCAACUUAUUAUGUGACUUGUUAGGCACAUUUUUACUCCCGAACUUAUUAAUUGUAUUAUUUGUAUUAAUGACCUGAGACCAGUACUAAUAUACACCUGACCUAAUAGGAGUCCAAUAGCAG
Long non-coding RNA from Oncorhynchus tshawytscha (Chinook salmon), 2279 nucleotides. The record is from Ensembl. Lineage: Eukaryota; Metazoa; Chordata; Actinopteri; Salmoniformes; Salmonidae.